AGAGUUUGAUCCUGGCUCAGAUUGAACGCUGGCGGCAGGCCUAACACAUGCAAGUCGAGCGGAUGACGGGAGCUUGCUCCCUGAUUUAGCGGCGGACGGGUGAGUAAUGCCUAGGAAUCUGCCUGGUAGUGGGGGAUAACGUUCCGAAAGGAACGCUAAUACCGCAUACGUCCUACGGGAGAAAGCAGGGGACCUUCGGGCCUUGCGCUAUCAGAUGAGCCUAGGUCGGAUUAGCUAGUUGGUGAGGUAAUGGCUCACCAAGGCGACGAUCCGUAACUGGUCUGAGAGGAUGAUCAGUCACACUGGAACUGAGACACGGUCCAGACUCCUACGGGAGGCAGCAGUGGGGAAUAUUGGACAAUGGGCGAAAGCCUGAUCCAGCCAUGCCGCGUGUGUGAAGAAGGUCUUCGGAUUGUAAAGCACUUUAAGUUGGGAGGAAGGGCAGUAAGUUAAUACCUUGCUGUUUUGACGUUACCGACAGAAUAAGCACCGGCUAACUUCGUGCCAGCAGCCGCGGU
RNAcentral lists this ribosomal RNA (518 nucleotides) under Pseudomonas sp. Hugh2698. RNAcentral's name for it is "bacterial SSU rRNA". It matches the Rfam family "Bacterial small subunit ribosomal RNA", at positions 8 to 521 of the family's 1533-position model. The record is from RNAcentral. Lineage: Bacteria; Pseudomonadati; Pseudomonadota; Gammaproteobacteria; Pseudomonadales; Pseudomonadaceae. RNAcentral also lists the same sequence under 2 other names.